UCCCCGUUGGCCGGGGCAGUCUCGCCUGAAAAAUCCAACAGACGACAAGGGCUGCGCUCGUUGCGGGACUUAACCCAACAUCUCACAACACGAGCUGACGACAGCCAUGCAGCACCUGUCUCUCGGUUCCCGAAGGCACUCCGCCAUCUCUGGCAGAUCCCGAGGAUGUCAAGGGUAGGUAAGGUUCUUCGCGUUGCAUCGAAUUAAACCACAUGCUCCACCGCUUGUGCGGGCCCCCGUCAAUUCCUUUGAGUUUUAGCCUUGCGGCCGUACUCCCCAGGCGGGGCGCUUAAUGCGUUAGCUACGGCACAGAACGAACAAACGCCGCCCCACACCUAGCGCCCACCGUUUACAGCAUGGACUAC
This 365-nucleotide unclassified non-coding RNA is filed under the name uncultured bacterium. Its description in RNAcentral is "contains 16S-23S intergenic spacer region". The record is from RNAcentral.